CUCUGGGAGAGGAGCCCAGCGUCAGUGAAACUCGGACAGGAGCGGGGCUGCGACCUCCUGACCGCGCCCUGCAGCCGGUGGACGUGCCGCCGGCGCCGCCCCACUCUGGUCCCAAGUCAGGACAUCAGGACCACGAAAGCCUGUGGUUUUCCUGCCACCGGCCUGAUGUGCGCUUGUCCUGUGCGUCCUUGGCUCCAGCACAAAGGAAUUUCGGAGGGAGUCGCAGAGAGAGGUUUCAAGUGCAACUUAUUAGAGAGAAAAGGAAAAGAAGGAUAAGUCCAGGUGAGAAGGCGGGUGCCCUCAAGGGAAUGGACGCCCCUUUCGGUUAUCAGAGUCUUCGUAUUUCCCAAAUGGCGGCUGCAACCUUUGUCUAAGGCUGUCUGGGCAUGGCUCAUGGCCGACCUAGGAUCCCAUGUCCCCCUGCAGGAGAGACUUCUGGAAACUACAAUGCAGAAGGUGAGUCGCCCAGAGAGACCUACAGGCCUACCAGGAUCAUCCUCAUCCCAACUCCUCAUCUUCCAUCUUCACAGCUGCUAUUCUCCUGCAAAU
Molecule: long non-coding RNA, 549 nt
Organism: Carlito syrichta (Philippine tarsier)
Lineage: Eukaryota; Metazoa; Chordata; Mammalia; Primates; Tarsiidae
Exons: 3
Source: RefSeq, a predicted model, not a curated record